RNAcentral lists this ribosomal RNA (796 nucleotides) under uncultured archaeon. RNAcentral describes it as "bacterial SSU rRNA". It matches the Rfam family "Archaeal small subunit ribosomal RNA", at positions 1 to 806 of the family's 1478-position model. The record is from RNAcentral.
UUCCGGUUGAUCCUGCCGGACCCGACUGCUAUCAGAAUAGGACUAAGCCAUGCGAGUCAACGUAGCAAUGCGUGGCAUACGGCUCAGUAACACGUAGUCAACAUGCCCAGGGGACGUGGAUAACCUCGGGAAACUGAGGAUAAACCGCGAUAGGUCAUAAUGUCUGGAAUGAUUUAUGGCUAAAAUCUACAUGGCCCCUGGAUUGGACUGCGGCCGAUCAGGCUGUUGGUGAGGUAAUGGCCCACCAAACCUAAAACCGGUACGGGCUCUGAGAGGAGAAGCCCGGAGAUGGGCACUGAGACAAGGGCCCAGGCCCUAUGGGGCGCAGCAGGCGCGAAAACUCUGCAAUAAGCGAAAGCUUGACAGGGUUAUUCUGAGUGAUUUCCGCUAAGGAGAUCUUUUGGCACCUCUAAAAAUGGUGCAGAAUAAGGGGUGGGCAAGCCUGGUGUCAGCCGCCGCGGUAAUACCAGCACCCCGAGUGGUCGGGACGAUUAUUGGGCCUAAAGCAUCCGUAGCCGGUUCUACAAGUCUUCCGUUAAAUCCACCUGCUUAACAGUUGGGCUGCAGAGGAUACUAUAGAGCUAGGAGGCGGGAGAGGCAAGCGGUACUUAGUGGGUAGGGGUAAAAUCCGUUGAUCCACUGAAGACCACCAGUGGCGAAGGCGGCUUGCCAGAACGCGCUCGACGGUGAGGGAUGAAAGCUGGGGGAGCAAACCGGAUUAGAUACCCGGGUAGUCCCAGCUGUAAACGAUGCAGACUCGGUGAUGGGCUGGCUUCGUGCCAACCCGGUGCCGCAG